RNAcentral lists this ribosomal RNA (174 nucleotides) under Providencia rettgeri. RNAcentral describes it as "partial 23S ribosomal RNA". It matches the Rfam family "Bacterial large subunit ribosomal RNA", at positions 2757 to 2925 of the family's 2925-position model. Lineage: Bacteria; Pseudomonadati; Pseudomonadota; Gammaproteobacteria; Enterobacterales; Morganellaceae. The record is from RNAcentral.
GGAAGAGAUAACCGCUGAAAGCAUCUAAGCGGGAAACUUGCCUUGAGAUGAGUCUUCCCUGACCCUUUAAGGGUCCUAAAGGAACGUUUAAGACUAAGACGUUGAUAGGUUGGGUGUGUAAGCAUAGCGAUAUGUUGAGCUAACCAAUACUAAUGAACCGUGAGGCUUAACCUG